GACCCGGUGGCGAAGUGGUUUCGCAUCCGCAUAGCUUCAGAUUGUAUUUGUCUAGUUCUGCGGAAGACAUCCGUUCGAUUCGGGUCUGGGUCA
Non-coding RNA from Mycena latifolia, 93 nucleotides. The record is from the annotation of a GenBank genome assembly. Lineage: Eukaryota; Fungi; Basidiomycota; Agaricomycetes; Agaricales; Mycenaceae.